UGGCGGCCGUAGCGCGGUGGUCCCACCUGACCCCAUGCCGAACUCAGAAGUGAAACGCCGUAGCGCCGAUGGUAGUGUGGGGUUUCCCCAUGCGAGAGUAGGGAACUGCCAGGCA
Molecule: ribosomal RNA, 115 nt
Filed under: Escherichia coli
Lineage: Bacteria; Pseudomonadati; Pseudomonadota; Gammaproteobacteria; Enterobacterales; Enterobacteriaceae
Also listed under: 18 other names
Source: RNAcentral